CUGCAAGACAACUUCCGCAUUUAAAUUCCAUUCACUACAACAAUUAACAUUCUAUGUGCACAAAGUGCAAGGUCUUUAAUGAUAACAAAACCUCAAGGUUGAAUAACAUUGCAGUAUUGAUUUCAAUUUAAUUUAAUCGUGCACUGCAGUGUGUAAACCUUAGUGCAACUACACUCAGGACGUUUUUAAGUGCGCAAGCAUUGAUAUUUUGUGACGUUAGAAACGAUCAGAACAGUCUUAUUUCUAUAUUAAGACAAUGUUAUAUGGAAUCAAUAUAAAGUUUCUUGCACAACAGGAUUUGGUUUAUGGAAAAAAAAGGUAUAAUUUUUUACAUGCAAGGAUUAUUUUUAUAUGCAGACCUGUUCUUAGGCAGUAUUGGAUUGUAGUUAACAGCUUAUUUUGCCUUGAUUGCUUUUUAACAAUUGAUAUUUCCAAAACAUGCAUCAGGUUUCAAGCGCCAUUUUAAGAUUUUUUUUCUUGGAAUGUGCAAUAUGGCGUCUGUGUCAUAAAAGCUUUCAUUUAAUGUAGCUAAAGUCAGGCAAUUACGUUAACUGUGUUGUAUUGUUUGACAUUUGGUUAUCUGGGGGUUUUAAGAGUAAACUAUAUAGAAUGAGUUUUCUCAGUGUCUGCUGAAGUUCCAUAAACAGUCAAACCUAUAUUAAGCAGUCACUAGUUGGAAGUAUCAAAAGUGACUGCUCCAUCGAGAUAACCUUCAAGACAAGAUUUAAAAAAAUUAAAAUUUCGACAUUGACUGUCACCAGAAUCUGGGUACAUUGUUUUAGUGUGUUCAAUUGCUUAAGAGUUUUCCUAUAGAAUUUGUAACUUAUUUCUUCCCAGAGUGUAUGUAUGUGCCUGUCUCAAGUCAGGAACCAAGUGUAUUCAGUGCUUGUUGUUUGUUGGUGUAUUGCAUAUUUGUUUUGUGUUCUUUUAUUUUGUACGUUAUUUGAGCCGUUAGUUUUUUUCCUUUUGAAUUGUUUUACAUUUGUCAUUUCAGGGCCUUUUACAGUGGUACAGUGACCUAUAGUUGUUAAUUUCUGAGUCAUUUGGUCUCUGGUGAGGAGUUGUCUCAUUACAAUGUAGCUAUCAUGCCACAUCUUCUUUAUAAGUAGGACUAAGUUAGACAAUUGAUUGUGUCAUAUAGUUGCUAAUAUAUUUUUAAAUAAAUAUCUGGUUCAACAAGUGUGUGGAUAUUUGUAGAAAAUUUGCACCAUAUAUUUUUCUCUUAUGAAUCUCAUGAAAAAAACAAAGUAAAAAUUUG
RNAcentral lists this long non-coding RNA (1258 nucleotides) under Mytilus galloprovincialis (Mediterranean mussel). The record is from RNAcentral. Lineage: Eukaryota; Metazoa; Mollusca; Bivalvia; Mytilida; Mytilidae.